AAUUGGUUUUAGGUACCUUAUUUUUAAGGUUUAAUAGGGAAAGUGGUUAAAAUCCACUACAGCCCCCGCUACUGUAUACGAAGACGAAGCCGUAAUAUCCACUGGAUUGAUUUCUGGGAAGGAUGGCUUAGGAUGACGCGUGAGUCAGGAGACCUGCCUAAAAU
RNAcentral lists this non-coding RNA (164 nucleotides) under Clostridium ihumii. The record is from RNAcentral. Lineage: Bacteria; Bacillati; Bacillota; Clostridia; Eubacteriales; Clostridiaceae.